CACAGUCGAAGGGUGCUUGCACCUUUCAAGUGAGUGGCGAACGGGUGAGUAACACGUGGACAACCUGCCUCAAGGCUGGGGAUAACAUUUGGAAACAGAUGCUAAUACCGAAUAAAACUUAGUGUCGCAUGACAAAAAGUUAAAAGGCGCUUCGGCGUCACCUAGAGAUGGAUCCGCGGUGCAUUAGUUAGUUGGUGGGGUAAAGGCCUACCAAGACAAUGAUGCAUAGCCGAGUUGAGAGACUGAUCGGCCACAUUGGGACUGAGACACGGCCCAAACUCCUACGGGAGGCUGCAGUAGGGAAUCUUCCACAAUGGGCGAAAGCCUGAUGGAGCAACGCCGCGUGUGUGAUGAAGGCUUUCGGGUCGUAAAGCACUGUUGUAUGGGAAGAACAGCUAGAAUAGGAAAUGAUUUUAGUUUGACGGUACCAUACCAGAAAGGGACGGCUAAAUACGUGCCAGCAGCCGCGGUAAUACGUAUGUCCCGAGCGUUAUCCGGAUUUAUUGGGCGUAAAGCGAGCGCAGACGGUUUAUUAAGUCUGAUGUGAAAGCCCGGAGCUCAACUCCGGAAUGGCAUUGGAAACUGGUUAACUUGAGUGCAGUAGAGGUAAGUGGAACUCCAUGUGUAGCGGUGGAAUGCGUAGAUAUAUGGAAGAACACCAGUGGCGAAGGCGGCUUACUGGACUGCAACUGACGUUGAGGCUCGAAAGUGUGGGUAGCAAACAGGAUUAGAUACCCUGGUAGUCCACACCGUAAACGAUGAACACUAGGUGUUAGGAGGUUUCCGCCUCUUAGUGCCGAAGCUAACGCAUUAAGUGUUCCGCCUGGGGAGUACGACCGCAAGGUUGAAACUCAAAGGAAUUGACGGGGACCCGCACAAGCGGUGGAGCAUGUGGUUUAAUUCGAAGCAACGCGAAGAACCUUACCAGGUCUUGACA
RNAcentral lists this ribosomal RNA (937 nucleotides) under Leuconostoc mesenteroides. RNAcentral's name for it is "bacterial SSU rRNA". It matches the Rfam family "Bacterial small subunit ribosomal RNA", at positions 65 to 986 of the family's 1533-position model. Lineage: Bacteria; Bacillati; Bacillota; Bacilli; Lactobacillales; Lactobacillaceae. The record is from RNAcentral.